Long non-coding RNA from Parus major (Great Tit), 4097 nucleotides. RefSeq lists it as uncharacterized. The record is from RefSeq and is a predicted model, not a curated record. The transcript is spliced from 2 exons. NCBI's taxonomy places the organism in Eukaryota, Metazoa, Chordata, Aves, Passeriformes, Paridae.
UCUUGUGAACUUCUAGCAAUGGCUGCAGUGCAUUUAUUUUACACAGAAUUUUCUUACCUGAAGCUGUGGAGCCAAAGAUUGUAUUCUCCUCUCUGUUGUGCAUCUGAAUUUCUGCAAUGGCACUGCUUCAGAGGAGUUGAGUAGAGAAACAAACCUUAUAAGAUUUCACAAUACUAUUAAUGAUCUGGAUCGCAUUCUGCAGUCCUGAUUUAGGUAAGAAUACCAUCAGAACCAAAGCACAAUCUAAAAUAAUAUUUGAAGGGCAAGUCUGAGGCUUAGUUGGCUUAAUCUUGAAUUUUCCUGCCUCAACUUUCAAGUAUUUUUCAGUCAUGUAGGAGAGAUAAGAAAUGUUGAUGUAUGGGGGCAUAGAGAGAAAAAGUAAAGUGAUUAUGGUUUUGUGAUGUACACUGUAAAAUGGAAUUUAAUUUUCCUCUGAAAGGAAGUCUUUAGCAUCUUUUUAAAAUUAUUGCUGGUUCAUGCUUUGUGUUUCUACUUGAUAGUAACCUUUAGAUCAGCAGGCUUUGAAUGUGAAGAGCUUCUAUAUCCUAUUAUAAAAAAAAAGCACUUUCAAAAAUUUAACAGACAGACUUUUCAAAGAGAAGGGGGGUAGACUCUAAGAGAAGUUAUGGUGUGGACUUGUUUUCCUAAGCACAGUUUCCCUCCUAGGAGGAGGAAGGAGGUUUGCAGUAGUCAGGGGAUGAGUGAUCACAGUGUGAAACUAACUUUGAGGGCCAUUACACACAGCUUUUUGUUGUUCUCUAACAUCCUGAUUCUCUCUGAGACCACAGUGAAGCUGCAAAAACAGAAGCAGUAAGAGGAGCUAUAAGCUUUGGAACAGGUGAGUUGAAUUAUUUUCCUUUGCUUGGAAAGUCUUAACCAGAACUGAACACAGACAAAAGCUGAGCAGCUUUCAUCCAUCCUUUCUCACAGUAAAAACCCCAACCAACAACAAAAUACAACAAAAAGUGUUGCACGUGCAUGUCUAAAAAAUGUAACUUUUUAAUAGAAUUGGAUGUAUUUGUAACUAUUUUCCUCAGAAAAAAAGCCAAAUAAGCUUACAUUUUAUUUUUCUAAUCAUAUAUCAUCCUGUUUUAUCUUUCAAAGAGACCUGGUUUACUAUUUCAUUUCAUUGAUGCCCAUGAGAGCAGAUAUAACUGGAGGAUGUUCCCACAUCUGGCUUGCUUGAAAGCUUAUCCUAGAAAUGUUAAAUAAGUUUGUAUAUAUAUUAAAGGCCAAAUACAGCAACAUUGAAAACUAUAGCAUUGUCUGGUAACAUUGAUAGGAAGUUUUGGAAAUAGUGUUUGGAGCAGGGAAAAAAAAAUGAGGUAAAAUAUGUCCAUUGUUCAUCAGAUUUGCAGCAGCUGGAAUCCAGUGUAAUGGAAAACAGGAUUCUCCAGAGAAAAUAAACAAUAAUUUGUUUAUUUGCAGUAAUUUCUAUAAUGCUAAGUGAAGUUUGUGUCAAACUUCAGUAAAUGUCCUGAACAAAUGUCCUGCGUGUACGUCCUGAACUUGAUUUCCUUGCUUUCCUUUAUUCUCACCUAUUAAAUACCUUAAAAUUAAUCUUAAUUUUGGAUCACUUCAUCUCAAACAUUACAAGGGAAUUGUUCUGCCCGUGUGGGACAAUGAUCAUGGUAAAGAUCUUUUCAAAUCUGUUCAAAUGCUGCUUUUCUCAGCAGGGAGAGACUUGGAUGAUUUUGGACUUGUCAGAUGUGCUUUGGAGUAGUGUCAUGUUUUAUUUUAAGAUAUCACCAUUAAUAAUUAUUGAGUUCCACUCAGAAAUGAAUGUAGGAGGGGGAAGAGACAUUUGCUAUUUAUCCAGAAAAAGACCUGUGUCAGGUUUGGAUGGAGGUCUAGAGUUCCUGCAGCAGACCCUCCUGCAAUUACCAAUUCCAGAGGCCUUACAGCCUUUUCAGGGAGAUUUUUCUCUAGCAACAUGAGAGGGGGAAAAAAGACAAUUAUUUCUUGAAAAAAUGCUCUUCAAUUCAUGCAGUGUUACUUUCUCCUCUCAAUAUUGUGUAUCUUAAUGCCUUGCUCUUCCUGUCUCCGUUGGGCCACCCUCUUAAAGCAUUUCCAAAAGAGCUAGCUGAGUAACUGUAUGUUUAAUUUCCCAGAUCAAAUGUUUAAUCUGCAAUCAGUGCUCAGUUUCUCAAAUCAAAUGCAGUAUGUAUUCAAGCAGGAGUUCUGUAACAGUAAUACUGCUCUCUCAGACAAGAGGGACUCACAAAUUCUGGAUAACCAUGGAAUUCUGAAUAUGCUUUCUGUAACAGUCCUACUGGGUUGAGCUGAAGUAGAUGCUUCUGUGGGGGAGAAAAAUCAAAGGAAACUUUUAAGCCAGAGAAAUGGGAAAUCAUUGCUUAGCAGGCAAGUCUCUGAUUCUUCUGCAGCUGCCACUUCUCCCAGCAGAGAGGGCAGGGGGGACGAUGCUCAUGGCAGAAACACAGCGCUUGUUCUGAGUCACUGAGCUAAGUGGUUUGGCCCUUGUGCCCACCACAGCUUCUGUGGGAACAAAUAAUUGUUCCAGGGUUGGGCUUGCUAUUAAUAAUAUUGUAAUGAUGCACUUACGUCUCCAUGUGGAAUGCAUUGUGCUUAAACUGAGGAAAUGUUUGGAAUCUUCAGCUUGUGGCUACAGAGGAUGGAUCAAGCAGUCCCUCCUCGAAGGAAACUCGUGCAAAAUCAUUUCAUUUUGCCUUCUAGUGGAUGACAGGUCUGCACAGAAUGAGCUGUCAAGGGAAGUAACUUCAUAAAGUGCUCUUGAACUGCUUGCAAUUACCUGACCAUAUUCUACCAUUAAUUAAGUUCUCAGGUCACUAUAGCACAGAAAGAAAUGAAAAUUAAAAAAACAACCAGAACAAAAUAUGAAACUUUCUUUGUGUAAGUUUUUUCCUGAUGAAAUCUGUACUUCUGCAGAAAUAAUAUUGGAAUUAAACAAGUGGUUAUUGGGAGCUCCGCUUUGUUCCUACAAAUAAAUAAACACACAACUUGUGUUGCAGCUCUGCACAGGCUCAAGAAGUAAAAGAUAAAACAUAGAGACUUAACAAAAACCCCAAAAAAGUUUUUUUAUGUACCAUGACCUGGCCUUUUGCAAGAUAAUUGCCAUGGUAAGCACUGAGCAUGUGGCAUGUGGUAUGUGGCCAUAGCAGGGGUUUCUCAGAGCUGUAUUUUUAUUUCAGCUUGCUUUUCCACAGACUCUCUACAUCAAACAAUUAAACAUUUGAAGUUUCAGUGUUUACAGCAUCUGAGCAAACCUUUGUGGAGUAAUUUGAAAUAGAAAUAAAGGGAAAAUAGGCUGGUUUACUGGAAAGCAAAAAUUAAAAAAUGUACUCUAGGUGUUGCUUUCCCUCUCCUUAAGCAGAACCUGAAAUCACCCAGAGCCUUCACAGCUCUUUCCAUCUUAAUGGACCACUUCAGACCAUUUUCACUGUCCUCUCUUUUGUGCUGUCCUCUGAAAUGAUAAGAUUGAAGGAGCACUAACCAGUGGGUUUUGUGGAACCACCUAUUUAUUUGCUUCAGAAUUAAAGAGAUCCUGAGACCCUUUUUGAAGUCUUGGAAAGUUAACAGUAAGUAUCACAAGGAAGAAUAUUUCCAUUCUGUUUAUUUUUUUGGCUAUCUAUCAGAAAGGACAAGUGGAAUAUACCUGAAGGGGCUUGUAGCAGAAACAUGAAUAAAAUGCUGUGGCCUCUUUGACUUCACUCCAGAUGUUUAGGCCUCUAGAUAUUUUGCCACUUUUAAAGGAAGAUCAAAGGAGAUUCAGAGAAUGAGGCGAUCAUCCCCUGCUGAUUUUAAUUAACAAUCCUUUUGCUCUUCUUUAUUCUUGAAAGUCUUUUGUAAUUUUCAUAACUUUUGCUUUGUAUAUAACAGAUGGUGGAAUAAAUAAUUUGGUGUUUUGAUUUUUUUUUUUUAAUGUUGUGUAAGUCCAGUUCAACAUUUCUGUGUAUUUCCUUAGCAACUGCUGUAAAAAAUACAUGCAAUACUGGAGGAUUUGCUGCCAUUCUUGUUGGUUUAGAUAACUUCUCCACUGCCUAAUGCAUGAAAUCAAAUUUCUGCUUACUUAUAUCUAAAAACAGAUUUAAUAAAACACAUCAAAUUUACUGAUCUGA